GAGAUGAUCUCUAUUCGCGACACUCCUCUCCUCGCGUGGCUAGGGCACAUGACAACUCCCACCGCCGAUGCCUCUCUUCAUCCUUUCUUUUCCCCACCAGCCGGCGGCUCUUCCCUUACCUUUACUGCCACCGGCCGACCAUCCACAGCCCACCACUUCCUCUUCUUGAUUCCAGCGGCGACAGCAGCAGCUUUCUCAGGGAGUGGCAAGCUUUAACAACGAGUUCUGACCAACUCCACCUCAUCGGAGGGGUUCUCUGAUGUGACCUCCAUCUUUUGACAAACUUCUAAAGUUCCUCCACUUGGGGUUCAGGUGGCAGAGUAGAGAGAGGUCCGGCAGUCCAUCACAGUCCGAUCAACUUCCAUCCGAGGGGGCUCUUCGGUGGAAGAUCCGUUCACCAUCAUCGUGUUGAAGCGUGCAGCAUUCCGACAGUGAGCUACUGUCCACCGACUUCGGGGGUUCCGGAGUCGGGCCCUUGUGUGACGGCGAGGGAAAAAUCUUUCCUGGAAAAAGGGGUCCGGGCGCCCGGAACUGGUCUGAGCGCUCGAAAUGCAAAACUCUAUCUCGUCGCAAACUUGGAGCGCGCUGAUUGGCUGGGUCGAUGUCACGGUCCAAGCACCCGGAAGGAAUUCGGGUGCCCGGAAUUGCUUAUAUAAGCAGUCUUCCACCAAGAGCCAAACACAACUUCUUCUACGAUUGCUCUCUUGUGCGCUACUCCAAAGACGCUCCUGCGAGGCUGUGAAGCUCCUCCGACAACCUGUGAAUCAGUUUUAUUUUCCUUGUUGUCGGUAUUCUUUAUAAUUAUUGUACCAAAAUUGUGUAAUACUUUUACGAAUUAUUAGUGAUUGCCCAA
Long non-coding RNA from Zingiber officinale, 853 nucleotides. RefSeq lists it as uncharacterized. The record is from RefSeq and is a predicted model, not a curated record. The transcript is spliced from 2 exons. Lineage: Eukaryota; Viridiplantae; Streptophyta; Magnoliopsida; Zingiberales; Zingiberaceae.